UCCAAUUAUUUACCUAGAUCUGGGCUGCCAAAAAUCCCAAGUUGGGUUGUUUGUAACCCAGCAUUUUUUAAAGUACAGAAGCAGCAAGCGCAGCCAAUGGGAAUCCGUGGAAAGAAAACUGCCAUCUGUAAGCUUUUCCAGAUCAAUAAAUGACUUAUAUUCGUGCUUGAAAAGUUACAUCAAAAAUAGCUUUACCUCUUGCAAUCUUGUUUAAGUUUCUUGGCACGACCAAAUCAAUAGAUAAAUAGCGUGCCUAUUGUAGUCAGUGGAGCGCAAGGAAACUUUGUUACACAUGACAGACAGUGAUGUUGCUUCGUGUUUCAGCCCUGGUUGCGCAUUCAUUUGGUGGGAAAUGAAACUUCCAUGGUGGAACGUCGCUCGCUUUGAGUGAGAUGAAUGCUGCAUUUGUAGAAGGCUAGGGUUUCAAGCUGCGACAUACAUUUAAACAAAAAAAAAAAAGUGAGACUACAGACAUUUUUUCUAUUUAUACAAUAAUAAUUUAACAGGAAUACAAUGUAAUACAACCGUAAUUUAAUUCAGGAAGUUUUCUGUCAGUCAAGUUUUCUCCCAGAACAGAACACAAAAUGACUGUUGAAUAUAUCCAAUAUUACCCCAACUACCCAAGAUUAGGUUAUAAUGACCCAGAGCUGGGUAGGUAUGUUAGCGGGUUCAUCAUUUGUUUUGACAGUGAAAACAACCCAGCAGAGAGUUACAGAAAAACCACCCAUCACCUGGAUAAGAAAUAUUGAAAAUAACCCAAUAAAAUGACCUGGACCCAGCAUUUGGGUUAAAAAAAAAUAAAAUAACAGAGCAUUUUUUAGAGUUUGUUUUUCAGUUUCAGGCCCAAGGCUGCAAGACAAGUGCUACAGACCUAUGGGUGUGGUGCCUUUGGAGAUACAGUAGUGUACAGUAGCUGCCAGCUGUCUGUUCUGUGAUGUAACAAGCCCACAGAAUGCCACUUGUGCGCUAUGGCCAUUGUCCCUCUCCAUCCAUCUCCAGAGGAAGUCCAUUCAUUACCUCAGAUGAUUUGAUGUCUUCCACAAUAAAACCAGCAUCUGGAUUUACACAGAGGAGUCUGUUGGAAGCAAAG
Labeo rohita (rohu) is the source of this 1090-nucleotide long non-coding RNA. RefSeq lists it as uncharacterized. NCBI's taxonomy places the organism in Eukaryota, Metazoa, Chordata, Actinopteri, Cypriniformes, Cyprinidae. The record is from RefSeq and is a predicted model, not a curated record. The transcript is spliced from 3 exons.